GGUCCCAUGGCGCAAUCGGUUAGCGCGUCGUACUAAUAAUGCGAAGGUUCUGAGUUCAAUCCUCAGUGGGACCA
Non-coding RNA from Biscogniauxia sp. FL1348, 74 nucleotides. Lineage: Eukaryota; Fungi; Ascomycota; Sordariomycetes; Xylariales; Xylariaceae. The record is from the annotation of a GenBank genome assembly.